RNAcentral lists this ribosomal RNA (486 nucleotides) under uncultured bacterium. RNAcentral's name for it is "partial 16S ribosomal RNA". It matches the Rfam family "Bacterial small subunit ribosomal RNA", at positions 31 to 507 of the family's 1533-position model. The record is from RNAcentral.
GAGGAAGGAUAGGGGCAGGCUUAACACAUGCAAGUCGAGGGGCAGCGCGGGAUAGCAAUAUCCUGGCGGCGACCGGCGGAAGGGUGCGUAACGCGUGAGCGACAUGCCCGUUGCCCGGGGACAACCGGUGGAAACGCCGACUAAUCCCCGAUGGGAUAUUGUGCCGCAUGGCACGAUAUUGAAAGUUACGGCGGCGACGGAUUGGCUCGCGUCCGAUUAGCUUGUUGGCGGGGUAACGGCCCACCAAGGCUGCGAUCGGUAGGGGUUCUGAGAGGAAGGCCCCCCACAAUGGGACUGAGACACGGCCCAUACUCCUACGGGAGGCAGCAGUGAGGAAUAUUGGUCAAGGGGCGGAAGCCUGAACCAGCCAUGCCGCGUGCGGGAAGGAGGCCCUAUGGGCUGUGAACCGCUUUUGCCUGGGGGCAAUAAGGGCGUCGCGCACGUCCGAUGAGAGUACCAGGCGAAUAAGCAUCGGCUAACUCCGUG